This 408-nucleotide ribosomal RNA is filed under the name uncultured bacterium. RNAcentral's name for it is "bacterial SSU rRNA". It matches the Rfam family "Bacterial small subunit ribosomal RNA", at positions 506 to 916 of the family's 1533-position model. The record is from RNAcentral.
UGCCAGCAGCCGCGGUAAUACGUAGGUGGCAAGCGUUGUCCGGAAUUAUUGGGCGUAAAGGAUGCGUAGGCGGUCUUUUAAGUGGGAUGUGAAAUACCCGGGCUUAACUCGGGAGUGGCAUUCCAAACUGGAAGACUAGAGUGCAGGAGAGGAAAGUGGAAUUCCCAGUGUAGCGGUGAAAUGCGUAGAGAUUGGGAGGAACACCAGUGGCGAAGGCGACUUUCUGGACUGUAACUGACGCUGAGGCAUGAAAGCGUGGGGAGCAAACAGGAUUAGAUACCCUGGUAGUCCACGCCGUAAACGAUGAGUACUAGGUGUAGGGGAGCCAUUCUCUGUGCCGCAGUUAACACAUUAAGUACUCCGCCUGGGAAGUACGGUCGCAAGACUAAAACUUAAAGAAAUUGACGG